RNAcentral lists this long non-coding RNA (830 nucleotides) under Dromaius novaehollandiae (emu). RNAcentral's name for it is "lncRNA (ENSDNVG00000009915.1)". Lineage: Eukaryota; Metazoa; Chordata; Aves; Casuariiformes; Dromaiidae. The record is from RNAcentral.
UUUAACUCAGAGCAACUGAAUAUCCAGCAAGUUAAGAGGUGUAUAGCAUAUUAAAGUCUAUAAAUACCUGUUCAGAGUGCAGUUUAGAAGGAGAAAAGCAUGUUCUGGGCUCUUGAUUUUUACCCUGAAGACUCUUCUCUCCAGAAGAUAGUCUUAAGCUCGGGCUCUUUUGUAUUCAUAAGCCUUCUUCUGCCAUUCAAGCUCCCCAGUAGCUUUCUGAUUUGUUUCCAAGCACAGUAGGUCUAGCAAGACAAGUAACCUCUAACAGCUCCCUGUGUAAAAGUGGCCCUGCCACUGUAAUUCAAGUAUCUUUUAUACCUUCCUGUCUAGAGGUGACUUACCUGCCCCACCAGUCUUUCCCAAUUACCACUGAAUCAUUCCAUUGGCUGCAAGUGCACUUCCACUCUGGGCUGGUUUCUAUGACAAACAGGGCAGGCUGGAAUGCUACUGAUAAGGAAUAGCACUACAGAAAACACACGCUUGUAUUGUACGCUGUAUGGAAGUGUUGAUGAGAAAUGUUUAUUUGUUUGUCUUCUCAGGCCUGGGCAAUACCUUCUGCUUUCUGGUAAGAAAACUCCAGUAAAAGUUGGAAAGCCUGAAAGCCAUUUAUAAAUCAACUGAGCCACUCUGUACAAUCAUGUCUGCUUCAAGAUCCUAUUGAAUUGUUCAAAUUAACCCUGUAUGGAUUGUUACAGAGAAGAAAUUUCAUUCUUUACAGCUUUUGGUAGUAUUUGACAUAGAAAAACAUGAUUCGACCUGUAAAUUUCUAAUGGUUCACAGGACAUCAGACCAUGGUCCACAAAAAUGAAAUAAAAAUAUAUAUACUCACA